CAGCAGCCACGGGAAUACGGAGGGUGCAAGCGUUAAUCGGAAUUACUGGGCGUAAAGCGCACGCAGGCGGUCUGUCAAGUCAGAUGUGAAAUCCCCGGGCUUAACCUGGGAACUGCAUUUGAAACUGGCAGGCUAGAGUCUUGUAGAGGGGGGUAGAAUUCCAGGUGUAGCGGUGAAAUGCGUAGAGAUCUGGAGGAAUACCGGUGGCGAAGGCGGCCCCCUGGACAAAGACUGACGCUCAGGUGCGAAAGCGUGGGGAGCAAACAGGAUUAGAUACCCGGGUAGUCCCUGUCUCUUAUAA
This 301-nucleotide ribosomal RNA is filed under the name uncultured bacterium. RNAcentral's name for it is "partial 16S ribosomal RNA". It matches the Rfam family "Bacterial small subunit ribosomal RNA", at positions 509 to 809 of the family's 1533-position model. The record is from RNAcentral.